RNAcentral lists this ribosomal RNA (484 nucleotides) under uncultured bacterium. RNAcentral describes it as "partial 16S ribosomal RNA". It matches the Rfam family "Bacterial small subunit ribosomal RNA", at positions 29 to 507 of the family's 1533-position model. The record is from RNAcentral.
AUUGAACGCUGGCGGCAUGCUUUACACAUGCAAGUCGAACGGCAGCGCGGGCUUCGGCCUGGCGGCGAGUGGCGAACGGGUGAGUAAUACAUCGGAACGUGCCCAGUAGUGGGGGAUAGCUCGGCGAAAGCCGGAUUAAUACCGCAUACGACCUGAGGGUGAAAGCGGGGGAUCUUCGGACCUCGCGCUAUUGGAGCGGCCGAUGGCAGAUUAGCUAGUUGGUGGGGUAAAGGCCUACCAAGGCGACGAUCUGUAGCUGGUCUGAGAGGACGACCAGCCACACUGGGACUGAGACACGGCCCAGACUCGUACGGGAGGCAGCAGUGGGGAAUUUUGGACAAUGGGCGAAAGCCUGAUCCAGCAAUGCCGCGUGUGUGAUGAAGGCCUUCGGGUUGUAAAGCACUUUUGGCGGGAACGAAAAGGACUGUGCCAAUACCACGGUUCGAUGACGGUACCCGCAGAAUAAGCACCGGCUAACUACGUG